This 460-nucleotide ribosomal RNA is filed under the name uncultured bacterium. RNAcentral describes it as "partial 16S ribosomal RNA". It matches the Rfam family "Bacterial small subunit ribosomal RNA", at positions 338 to 795 of the family's 1533-position model. The record is from RNAcentral.
CCUACGGGAGGCAGCAGUGAGGAAUAUUGGUCAAUGGACGAGAGUCUGAACCAGCCAAGUAGCGUGAAGGAUGACUGCCCUAUGGGUUGUAAACUUCUUUUAUAUGGGAAUAAAAUGUUCCACGUGUGGGAUUUUGUAUGUACCAUAUGAAUAAGGAUCGGCUAACUCGGGGCCAGCAGCCGCGGUAAUACGGAGGAUCCGGGCGUUAUCCGGAUUUAUUGGGUUUAAAGGGAGCGUAGGUGGAUUGUUAAGUCAGUUGUGAAAGUUUGCGGCUCAACCGUAAAAUUGCAGUUGAAACUGGCAGUCUUGAGUACAGUAGAGGUGGGCGGAAUUCGUGGUGUAGCGGUGAAAUGCUUAGAUAUCACGAAGAACUCCGAUUGCGAAGGCAGUUCACUGGACUGCAACUGACACUGAGGCUCGAAAGUGUGGGUAUCAAACAGGAUUAGAUACCCGGGUAGUC